Molecule: ribosomal RNA, 502 nt
Filed under: uncultured Glomeromycotina
Lineage: Eukaryota; Fungi; Glomeromycota
Description: partial small subunit ribosomal RNA
Rfam family: Eukaryotic small subunit ribosomal RNA
Source: RNAcentral
CCAAUAGCGUAUAUUAAAGUUGUUGCAGUUAAAAAGCUCGUAGUUGAAUUUCGGGGUCUGUCCAUUGGUCGGGCUUCACGGUCCGUACUGGUGUGAUGGGUUCCUACCUUCUGAAUAACCAGCAUGCCAUUUAGUUGGUGCGCCGGGGAAGCAGAGCUAUUACCUUGAAAAAAUUAGAGUGCUUAAAGCAGGCUAGUGCUUGAAUAGAUUAGCAUGGAAUAAUAAAAUAGGACGGCAUGGUUCUAUUUUGUUGGUUUCUAGGAUCACCGUAAUGAUUAAUAGGGAUAGUUGGGGGCAUUAGUAUUCAAUUGUCAGAGGUGAAAUUCUUGGAUUUAUUGAAGACUAACUUCUGCGAAAGCAUUUGCCAAGGAUGUUUUCAUUAAUCAAGAACGAAAGUUAGGGGAUCGAAGACGAUCAGAUACCGUCGUAGUCUUAACCAUAAACUAUGCCGACUAGGGAUCGGACGAUGUUAAUUUUUUAAUGACUCGUUCGGCGCCUUACG